This 395-nucleotide long non-coding RNA is filed under the name Daucus carota (carrot). RNAcentral describes it as "long non-coding RNA (DCAR_LNC004040)". The record is from RNAcentral. Lineage: Eukaryota; Viridiplantae; Streptophyta; Magnoliopsida; Apiales; Apiaceae.
GCCAUAAUUUUAGUCAAAAAUUUACAGCCGCAAACCACCAUUGCAGACCACCGUUAGACCACCAUCAUCUCGAAAAUACAACAUGUUAACACUAAAUCAAAACCUAUAUCUGGUUGUGGUUGCAUGGAAUUAAAUAAUAUGCAAGCAAUAUCAAAAUGCACAAGAUCUAUAUUAUGAAUAACAAUAUUAAGAUUAGAUGCACAUAUCAAAAUUAUCAACAGAUCACAUAAACAAGUAAAAUGGUGAAUUAGAAAGAGUACACCUUGAUUUUGUGGAGUAUGUUCACACAAAAAGAGUCAUUUUCAAAUAUGAUCCGUCCUUUAAAGAUAUCCUUGCAUAAGUCGGUGAGUAGAUCGAUAUCCCAAUAUUUGAAUCAGUUGAAAACGCAAAUCAGA